RNAcentral lists this ribosomal RNA (238 nucleotides) under uncultured bacterium. Its description in RNAcentral is "partial 16S ribosomal RNA". It matches the Rfam family "Bacterial small subunit ribosomal RNA", at positions 15 to 234 of the family's 1533-position model. The record is from RNAcentral.
GAUCCUGGCUCAGGAUGAACGCUGGCGGCGUGCUUAACACAUGCAAGUCGAACGAAGCACUUAAGAUUGACUCUUCGGAUGAUUUCUCUUGUGACUUAGUGGCGGACGGGUGAGUAACGCGUGGGUAACCUGCCUCACACAGGGGGGAUAACAGUUAGAAAUGACUGCUAAUACCGCAUAACCCGAUAGGAUCGCAUGAUCCAGACGGUAAAGAUUUAUCGGUGUGAGAUGGACCCGG